GGGCCCGUGGCUCAAUGGUAGAGCACUCGACUCCAGAUCGAAAGGCUGCGCGUUCGAUUCGCGUCGGGCUCA
Molecule: non-coding RNA, 72 nt
Organism: Entophlyctis helioformis
Lineage: Eukaryota; Fungi; Chytridiomycota; Chytridiomycetes; Chytridiales; Chytriomycetaceae
Source: the annotation of a GenBank genome assembly